ACUCUGCAUGGUCAAAGUCCCCUGGAGGUGUCUCAGGACCAGGAUUUGAGGGCAGGCACAAGAUGCUUCUGAAGAACUCCCCAGGGUUGCGCAGAGUAUAGAGAGGGUCCUGAAUGGCUCACCAGAGGGUCUGAGAGGGCUCUAGGGCAGCGGGCCCCAAAGUCCCCUGAAGGCUUCAGUGCUCACACUUUGUCUCUUUGGACCUGUUGGAAUUUUCUAUGGAAAGAAUGUUCCUGGGGGAGAUGGAGACACAGGAUCAUCUCAGAAAACACGGAGGAAACAUGUAAAGUUCUUUAUUAUCUUAGGGGGGUUAGUGAUGAGUACUGUAAUUGAUAGUCUUCCUUUUCAGUCCAAUUUUAAUUUUUGUGCAGUAUGUUAAGCCACUAAAAAUACCUUUGUUUUCUCUGAAACCCGUGAUGCUUUUUCAGAUUUUGGGGGGUUGUUUUUACAGUAUUGCCACCAAACCCAGGGCCGUGCCCAGGCUAGGCAAGCACCCUGCCAUGAGCCACACCCACAGCCCCUCAUGAAUCUUAUGUUGCUGUUGAUUAUGUGGAGUAGAUGAGAGUUGGGGUGCUGUGGAGGAGAGGAGUGGAGGGAUGGGCCCACUCUCUUCACCUGUGUGACAGAUCUUGAGGUCUUCCUUGCCGAGGGCUCCUGGGAGCAUAGUCUCAAGCCAUGGAUGGGUGUCAUUGCCCAAAGAAUGCCUUUUCCCUGUCCCUUGCUCCCUGCUUUCUUUUUCCCAUAGGAUCUUCUACUCCAAUGCAGUGAAAUGUGAUGGGCCUGGAAUCAUUUUCUCUAACCUCCUGGAGAUGAUCUUGAGUGGACGGCCACUCCUCCAGCACAUGUGUAUUCUGCGCACCUUGACUGACACCCGCUGCGAGGCAGGAGCCCUGUCCUCUCGUGGGAAAUAGAGUCUGGCCCAGAUGUCCUCCGCAGCUCUCUCGGGCUCAUCCUUUCGUCUCCAUUUCCUCUGCUACAACCCAAGGCCCGUGCCCUCAUUGCCACCACCUGGAUUCUUUAGACACACCCAGAGGCUUCCUCACCCUCACCCCCCCAUUCUAGGGGGUGAGCGGCUUUGCUCUGCCAUAUGCGCUCUGCUAUAUGCUCUUUGCCAUUGUCAUCCAGUGCCCCUCCAGCAGCCUAAAACUACUGGAUCUUCUGGAUCAUGCCCUGGAACCUCCCCAAAUUGUGUG
Non-coding RNA from Ictidomys tridecemlineatus (thirteen-lined ground squirrel), 1193 nucleotides. Lineage: Eukaryota; Metazoa; Chordata; Mammalia; Rodentia; Sciuridae. The record is from RefSeq and is a predicted model, not a curated record.